This 439-nucleotide ribosomal RNA is filed under the name uncultured bacterium. RNAcentral describes it as "partial 16S ribosomal RNA". It matches the Rfam family "Bacterial small subunit ribosomal RNA", at positions 338 to 795 of the family's 1533-position model. The record is from RNAcentral.
CCUACGGGAGGCAGCAGUGGGGAAUAUUGCACAAUGGGCGAAAGCCUGAUGCAGCAACGCCGCGUGAGCGAUGAAGGCCUUCGGGUCGUAAAGCUCUGUCCUCAAGGAAGAUAAUGACGGUACGUGAGGAGGAAGCCCCGGCUAACUACGUGCCAGCAGCCGCGGUAAUACGUAGGGGGCUAGCGUUAUCCGGAAUUACUGGGCGUAAAGGGUGCGUAGGUGGUUUCUUAAGUCAGAGGUGAAAGGCUACGGCUCAACCGUAGUAAGCCUUUGAAACUGGGGAACUUGAGUGCAGGAGAGGAGAGUGGAAUUCCUAGUGUAGCGGUGACAUGCGUAGAUAUUAGGAGGAACACCAGUUGCGAAGGCGGCUCUCUGGACUGUAACUGACACUGAGGCACGAAAGCGUGGGGAGCAAACAGGAUUAGAUACCCGAGUAGUC